GCUCCUGUGGCCUAGUGGUUAGAGCGCCUGCUCGAAUCCGGUAGGUCGUGGGAUCGAUUCCCAGCCGAGUCA
Molecule: non-coding RNA, 72 nt
Organism: Potamilus streckersoni
Lineage: Eukaryota; Metazoa; Mollusca; Bivalvia; Unionida; Unionidae
Source: the annotation of a GenBank genome assembly